Sarcophilus harrisii (Tasmanian devil) is the source of this 733-nucleotide long non-coding RNA. RefSeq lists it as uncharacterized. The transcript is spliced from 2 exons. The record is from RefSeq and is a predicted model, not a curated record. Lineage: Eukaryota; Metazoa; Chordata; Mammalia; Dasyuromorphia; Dasyuridae.
CUGUGCCUGGAACAUCUGCAAAAUGAGGGUUGACCUCCAAGGUCCCUUCCAGCUUUUAAGUCAGGAUCUUAUUAAUAUGAUCCCUUUUCCAAAUAACAUAUAAUAAUGCCCUCUUCGACUCCUUCGACUAUUAAUGCCCUCUUCUGGCUCCUUCUCCCACCUUUUCUUCUCCAGGAUGAAUCUGCCAGGUUCUUCAACAAGAUUCUCAUGUGGCUCCUUCUCCAGAAUACUUACCAUCUACUUGAACCGCCCUCUGAAUUCCUUUCAGCGUCUCAAGUCAACAAAACAUUUCAGAAAACUUUUAUUAAAUAUCUGCUCCAUGCCAGGGAUUGGAGAUUGAACGAUAAAGAGGGAAACAGUCCUUGCUCACAAAGUUUAAAUUGAAGGAGGAAACGACAUAAGUUUUGUUUGUGUUUUAAUAACAGAAUUGUUAUUUCAUCAACUACAUAUCCCAAGAAAAAUGGAAAAGGAAGCAGAGAAAGUGUUCUAGACAACCUGAGCUGAGAUUUAAAGGAAGAGAAGGAUUUUGAGAGGUCUGGUUCAAUGAAUGUCCUCUAGGCCUGGAAAAUGUUUGUGCAACAGGAAGCCUCUGUGCUAAAGGAAAAUUACAUCAGUCCCAAAGUGGAAGAUGCAUGAAGAGAGAUUUGAGGCACAGAGACCAAGUGGGAGGCUAUUGUAAAAUCUUGGAGGCCGGUGAUGAGAACCUGAAAUAAAAUGGUUGUUGCUUGAGUGG